UGGGUUAUCGUUCAAUUGGCAGGACAUCGGAUUCUGGCUCCGAGAAUCAAGGUUCGAGUCCUUGUAACCCAGCCA
Molecule: transfer RNA, 75 nt
Filed under: Desulfovibrionaceae bacterium
Lineage: Bacteria; Pseudomonadati; Thermodesulfobacteriota; Desulfovibrionia; Desulfovibrionales; Desulfovibrionaceae
Description: tRNA-Gln
Rfam family: tRNA
About the family: Transfer RNA (tRNA) molecules are approximately 80 nucleotides in length.
Source: RNAcentral